AGGUUUCUGUAGACCCAAAAAGGUUUAUAGGUCUUGAUUCUAUAGCAGAUGCAGUUGAAUAUCUUCAUUUUGGUAAAAGUGUCGGCAAGGUGGUUGUUUGUGUAGAUCCAAUUUUCAGUCAACAAAUGGCAAAGUUAUGAGUAAUUAACUUCUGUUUGAAUCAUC
This is a long non-coding RNA of Pistacia vera, 165 nucleotides long. RefSeq lists it as uncharacterized. The transcript is spliced from 2 exons. The record is from RefSeq and is a predicted model, not a curated record. NCBI's taxonomy places the organism in Eukaryota, Viridiplantae, Streptophyta, Magnoliopsida, Sapindales, Anacardiaceae.